AAUCAACGCUGGUGGCGUGUUUAACACAUGCAAGUCGAGCGAGAAAGGGGACUUCGGUUCUUGAGUACAGUGGUGUACGGGUGAGUACAAUGUGGGUAACCUGCCUCGGAGUGGGGAAUAACACCGGGAAACCGGUGCUAAUACCGCAUACGACCACCGGAUCUUCGGAUCUGGUGAUGAAAGGUGAAAAUCGCUCUGAGAGGGGCUCAUGCCCGAUUAGUUAGUUGGUGAGGUAAUGGCUCACCAAGGCCACGAUCGGUAGCCGGUCUGAGAGGACGGUCGGCCACACUGGAACUGAGACACGGUCCAGACUCCUACGGGAGGCAGCAGUGGGGAAUUUUUGACAAUGGGGGAAACCCUGAUCAAGCAACGCCGCGUGGAUGAUGAAGUAUCUCGGUACGUAAAAUCCUUUCGACAGGGAAGAAGCUCUUCGGAGUUGAUGGUACCUGUAGAAGAAGCCCCGGCUAACUCCGUGCCAGCAGCCGCGGUAAUACGGGGGGGGCAAGCGUUGUUCGGAUUUACUGGGCGUAAAGGGCGCGUAGGCGGUUCGUUAAGUCGGAUGUGAAAACUCUGAGCUCAACUCAGAGCCUGCAUCCGAUACUGGCAGAC
RNAcentral lists this ribosomal RNA (609 nucleotides) under uncultured bacterium. Its description in RNAcentral is "bacterial SSU rRNA". It matches the Rfam family "Bacterial small subunit ribosomal RNA", at positions 28 to 641 of the family's 1533-position model. The record is from RNAcentral.